RNAcentral lists this long non-coding RNA (204 nucleotides) under Lathyrus oleraceus (garden pea). Its description in RNAcentral is "Pisum sativum (pea) long non-coding RNA (PSAT_LNC026391)". The record is from RNAcentral. Lineage: Eukaryota; Viridiplantae; Streptophyta; Magnoliopsida; Fabales; Fabaceae.
AAUAAUCACAAAAUCAAUUAAGUCAUGAAAAAUAAUAAUAAUGAUCCAAAAACUAAUUUUAAUUCAAAAUAUGGAAGAGGAACUUAUUUAAAUUUUUUUGGUGAAACUCUCAGAUUUUUUGGAUCAAUAUUAAAAUUAAUAUGAAUUAAUGAAAAUCAAAUGAAUUAAAACAAAAAUAAAAAAAAUCAAAAAAACGUGAGCCAC